Molecule: ribosomal RNA, 217 nt
Filed under: uncultured bacterium
Lineage: Bacteria
Description: partial 16S ribosomal RNA
Rfam family: Bacterial small subunit ribosomal RNA
Source: RNAcentral
CCUUUCAGUGAGGAAUACCGGCGAGAAAUCGCCGACAAGACCGCAUACGGUUCCCCCGGUCAACGGGGAAGGAAAGCUUGUGCUCGCGAGAGCAGAGGCGCUGGAAGAUGGGCCUGUGGCCGAUUAGCUAGUUGGUGAGGUAACGGCCCACCAAGGCGACGAUCGGUAGCUGGUCUGAGAGGAUGAUCAGCCACACUGGGACUGAGACACGGCCCAG